UGUUUUCCUCUUAUUUUGUUGCCCCUUUGCUUACUAUAUAGAUAUACAAACAUAUGGUCACAUCUAUUUGGUGUAUAGGGAAAAGCAAGUUUAAGAGAGCAUCUCCAAGGGACUAAUAUGCAAGAGGACUCCAGCCCAGUAAUGCCCCAUUCCCCACUUAGGGGUGGGCAUGUGUUGACUUCACUGCAGCUCCAAGGAAUCUCUGGCCAAUCCAAUCACUGGGCACAUGUCUGGACCACUUAGUCACAUGGCUUCACUUCCUCCAUUUAUGUUUCCACCAUCCACACUCCAGCCAAUGGCUUCCCACCCUUCACAGUCGCUGCAUAUUGUUUAACUGCUUCUGACUGAAAAAUAUUCUUCCUCUCACCUUUUAAUUCCAGCUGGCAGUGUUUUGCACAGAGUAGGAGCUCAACAAAUAUAUAUGUAUUGAUCCAUCAACAGAAUUAGAAAACUGCUUAAAUGCAAGCCAAUUCUCCACCAUCUGACUACCACAAAUGGAGGGCAAAGGAUUCUGGUAACAACUUUGUGGGCAAGUCAGUGGAUAAACAGCAAGUUAGUGCUGGCUACAGAUGGCCUCAGAGUACCCUCACAUAACACUCACACCACUAGUGCUGCUAUCCCCAGACACCCGUAGUUACAAACAAAGUGAGGGAGGAAUGGACAGUGCAUCACAAUACGAUUUCUAAGAGUCCAGGUACACUGAAAGGUUAAUUUCUAGUCUGGAAAUAAAAGAAAAAAUUCUACCAUAAGAGAUGAUUUUUAAAGUUAAAGAGUGGGAAUGUGUAAAUAAAUAAUGAAUUCGUUGCAAAAGAUUUUUCAUAGUAUUAAGUUAGGGUUUAACACUACUUUUUUAGGCCAGUGGCCUACAAGAAGCCAGUUGGAAUCAACUGCAAAACUUGUAAACUACCCAGGCUCACUUCCCAAGAUUCCUUAGCCCUCCACUCUUACCCUCUCUAGGAAUUACUGCUGUGAUUAGUCACUAUUAUGACUAAGAGUAUGUCUUAUUCCUCAUGUACACUGGGGACAGAAGAAUGUUAAGUCCCAAAUUUUAAGCUGAGUUCCAGCAGCAUACAAUAGCACACACACUAGUUUCAAGGAAACAUGUUUUUAUAGAUUAGGAGAGAAAAAGAAGUGAAAUAUAAAACUGAUUUCUUUUUGAAAAGAUAUUAUAUGUAGCAUGAUUACAACCCAGUCCUAAAAAAAUAGCUUAUAAAAAAAUUUCAUUCCUCUGCCAGGGUUGGAGGAAAAUAAGAUUUAAAAUUUCAAACUUACAGAGAAAUAAAAUAAACACCUAAUACCCACAAUCCAUGUUUAACAUUGUCAACAUUCUGCCAUACUUGCUUUUUCUAUUUUAAAGUAUAUAAAUUAAGACAUCAUGACAUUUCAUCCCCCAAAUCUCAUAAUAUCCAUCUCUUAAAAAAUGAGUACCUUUUCUUUGCAACCACAAUUCCAUUAUCCUGCCUUAGACACUUAAUAGUAAUUGCUUAAUAUCAUUGUACCCAUGCCAUAGCCAACUCUCUGGAAUUGGCCUCCAAAUGUCUUACACGGUUUGUUCAAACUAGAAUCCAGACAAGGACCAUAUAUUUGCAUUGCAAACUCAGUUGAUGCGAGGAUUUCAAUAGCUACAGAAAAAAAGUUUUAGUUUUUCCUUCUCCUUUUCUAUAUUUUCAACAUUUAAUGAGUAUGAGGUGUGGAGGUGGGAUAACAUUGGCCUAAAUCUAAUGGAUUCUGUUACCUGGGCCUGUCUAAUAUUACAUUCUAAAAGUCAGCCAGGCAUGGUGGCUCACACUUGCAAUCCCAAAACGUUGGAUGGCUGAGGUGGGAGGAUCCCUCGAGCUCACGACUUAAAGAGUAGCCUCGGCAACAUAGUGAGACCUUGUCUCUGCUAAAAAUAAAAAAUUAGCGGGGUGUGGUGGCAUGCACCCAUAGUACCAGCAACUUGGGAGGUUGAGGUGGGAGAAUCACUGGAGCUCAGAUAGAGGCUGCAGUGAGCAAGCUAUGAUUGUGCCACUGCACUCCAGCCUGGGCAACAGAGUGAGACUCUCUCUCUCUGUCUGUCUGUCUCUGUCUCUCUCUCUCCAUCCCCCCAUACACACACACAUACACACUCACACACACAGAGUUCUAAAAGUCAAUUUAAAUAUUUUUGACAGACAAGAGACUAAGAAAGGUUUUUUUGUUUGUUUUUUGUUUUUGUUUUUCUUUUUUUUCUUUUCCUAUGCUCUGAAAGAAAGACAAGAAUGGGGAUGGGGUGGGGAGCCACAUGUCAUCUGUCUCUGCCACCUGAAUCAGGGGUCUGAGUCUUAGGGAAGAACAAACUGCAGGCAGAAUCCAAAAG
RNAcentral lists this long non-coding RNA (2338 nucleotides) under Homo sapiens (human). Its description in RNAcentral is "HSALNT0126710". The record is from RNAcentral. Lineage: Eukaryota; Metazoa; Chordata; Mammalia; Primates; Hominidae.